GUCGUAACAAGGUUUCCGUAGGUGAACCUGCGGAAGGACCAUUACGGUGCAUCCGACCCACACGUGAACUGUUGAAAGGUGACAUGGUGUUUGGUUUCACGAUCAAGACCGGUCACCGCCCCUUCUUCCACACACACGAACAAUCGAGCUGAAGCGAUGGGGUAGCGGGCUUUUACAGACCGCUGCCUUUAACCGUGACAACUCUCAACAACGGAUGUCUUGGCUCUCGCAACGAUGAAGAACGCAGCGAAAUGCGAUACGUAGUGUGAUUUGCACUGUACGUGAACCAUCGAAUCUUUGAACGCAUAUUGCACUCGAGGCUUCGGCCAAGAGUAUGCCUGCCUGAGCGUCUGUGUGUACCCUCAUACCAAUUAAUUUUGGGAUGGAAAUGGACGUCCGAUCGGAGCCUGCGAAGGUUUCGAUGGGUCGGCCGAAAGGCAGUCGCGGUGCGACCGAUCGCACGAUCAGCGUGGUAGACCUAUUCAUAGGACGGAUCGCUCGGUCAGAUCGGUAACACUUCGAUCCGAAUACUGGUGCGUGUCUCGACUCCGCGGGCCCUCGCGGCUGGUGGAAUAAGAGCCGUGCCAUCUCACCUUUUGACCUCAGUUCAGACAAGGCUACCCGCCGAAUUUAAGCAUAUUACUAAGCGGAGGAAAAGAAAAUAACAAUGAUUCCCCUAGUAACGGCGAGCGAACCGGGAAGAGCCCAACUUGAAAAUCUGGAGGCUUGUCCUUCCGAAUUGUAGUCUAGAGAAGUGCCAUCUGCGGCUGGCUGGUCGAAAGUUCCCUGGAAAGGGACGUCAGAGAGGGUGAGAGCCCCGUCACGAUCGGUUAAGUCGCUCCACGAUGCGCUUUCGAGGAGUCGGGUUGUUUGGGAAUGCAGCCCUAAGCGGGAGGUAAAUUCCUUCUAAGGCUAAAUAUUGGCGAGAGACCGAUAGCGAACAAGUACCGCGAGGGAAAGAUGAAAAGACCUUUGAAAAGAGAGUUAAAAAGUACCUGAAAUUGUUGAGGGGGAAGCGAUUGAAACCAGUUUCUUAUUGUAAGAUUGCCGUUGGACGAAGGCCUCAUCCGUACCGUAAGGGCGGUAAUAAGCUGGAAUUCCUGCGGUGUCUCUUGCAGUUUGAAGUCAACGUAGCUUGAGUGUUUCGGGAGUACCGCUGCAAAGCCGUUCGAUCGCUGUUGUGAUCAAUGACUUGUGGUUGGGACCGUCACCUCGAGUUAGGAAUGCGAGCUGAUUCUAUGUGGGCAUAAUUGUGGGGACCGAGUGCUGGACUUCUAAAGUGCUGUGUUCGUAACUGCAAUGAGUCUUUAUGUUCAGCCCUAGGACGUUGACGAAAUGGUUUUUUUCUACCCGUCUUGAAACACGGACCAAGGAGUCGUCCUCCACUGCGAGUAUGUGGGUGGCAAACCUAUAUGCGUAAUGAAAGUAACAGAUUGGAUAUUUGCACAAUCGACCGACUUUGAUCUUCGGAGAGAGGCUUGAGUAUGAGCAAUGUAGGACGGACCCGAAAGAUGGUGAACUAUGCGUGA
RNAcentral lists this ribosomal RNA (1529 nucleotides) under Micromonas sp. RCC300. Its description in RNAcentral is "eukaryotic LSU rRNA". The stretch from base 598 to 1529 matches the Rfam family "Eukaryotic large subunit ribosomal RNA", at positions 1 to 840 of the family's 3401-position model. Lineage: Eukaryota; Viridiplantae; Chlorophyta; Mamiellophyceae; Mamiellales; Mamiellaceae. The record is from RNAcentral.